This is a non-coding RNA of Oryza glumipatula, 205 nucleotides long. Lineage: Eukaryota; Viridiplantae; Streptophyta; Magnoliopsida; Poales; Poaceae. The record is from Rfam.
UUUAAAUGUAGUUGUGAGUUUUUCUGUUCAACGUUUGACCGUUCGUCUUAUUUAAUUUAUUUAUGAUUAAUAUUUUUAUUGUUAUUAAAGGUAAAACAUGAAUAAUACUUUAUGCGUGACUUAAUUUUUAAAAUUUUUUUUAUAAAAAUUUUAAAUAAGACAAAUGGUCAAACAUUGGACACAAAAACCCACGACUGCACUUAAA